AUUGAACGCUGGCGGCAGGCCUAACACAUGCAAGUCGAGCGGAGCGGCGGACGGGUGAGUAAUGCCUAGGAAUCUGCCUGGUAGUGGGGGAUAACGUCCGGAAACGGGCGCUAAUACCGCAUACUAUCAGAUGAGCCUAGGUCGGAUGAGCUAGUUGGUGGGGGAAAGGCCUACCAAGGGGACGAUCCCUAACUGGUCUGAGAGGAUGAUCAGGCACACUGGAACUGAGACACGGGCCAGACUCAUACGAGAGGCAGCAGUGGGGAAUAUUGGACAAUGGGCGAAAGCCUGAACCAGCCAUGACGCGUGGGUGAAGAAGUUCUUCGGAUUGGAAAGCACUUUAAGUUGGGAGGCGUUACCAACAGAAUAAGCACAUGCUAACUUCGUGCCAGCAGCCGCGGUAAUAC
This 407-nucleotide ribosomal RNA is filed under the name uncultured bacterium. RNAcentral's name for it is "partial 16S ribosomal RNA". It matches the Rfam family "Bacterial small subunit ribosomal RNA", at positions 30 to 526 of the family's 1533-position model. The record is from RNAcentral.